CAACGGGCUUUGAGUCAUUUGCUACUCCUUAUUCUUCCUUUUGAAUAAUGCCUAAUCGAAGGGCUUAAUAUUAAUAGCGCCAGUUGGCCUAUGCGACUACUUAUGACCUGCCUUAGGGCGAAAUAGAAUGAAAUUACUGAAAAGCCUUCUCUUGGCUAAGAUUAUUUGCCUAGUGCGGACUAAUUACUAUAUAUUAUAAGUAAGCCAUUAGUGAUUUAGCAAGAAAUGCUUUCUUUUCACACCCGCUUCGCCUUCAGAUGUUGAAUUGGCCCGGGGAUACACAACAGCCCCUUACUCAAUAAGCCCUCGCUUAGACUUAGCAACGAGAGCAGGUAAAGAUGAUUGCUUCACUGAAUAGUUCAUAGAAAGAUAGUUCAAAAGCACUCCCGCCUAGACCUUCGUUCGCGGAGAAAGACCCGAUCUUCCUGCUAAUAUGGUAAAGCAUCUUUCUUUCUCUGGUUGCGCCUCUCUUUGUUGUGCUUCUUUAGUUCACAACUGCGCUUCUUUAACGGAUAGGCUUUCCAGGUUCUUAACAAUAAAUUACUGGAAACGUCGUAUUUCAUCUGCUCACGCCCGUGUAUUUGAGUUGUUCUUUCAGAAAUGAGUCUAUUGCUUCGAUUAGGCUUGCUCUUGUAUUAAAACCACUAACUCUUUCGAGAUCACUAAAGUACUUUUCUCGGCCUCAGCAUCAGUAUCCCCAUCCGCCCUUAGUCAGCUAACCAAGAAUCAAAGGAAUUUGCCCUUUCAUCCGGAUUUCCCUUCUGAGAUUGGUUUUCCCUCCCUGACUCUGGGCUGGAUCGAUAUCUUGGUCCAUGGGCCCAUUCUCAAUUAGUCUUCCUGGACUAUGUUUCUUACCCACCCCUGCUAGCAUAAAAACAAGAGCUUUUCGGGCAGCGAGUCACAUGUUGGAAUGUCAGGAUGUGGAAUUUAGUUAUUGAGAUUAGAUUAGUGAUUAGUCACACCUACCGUAACCUAUAUUGGUAAGGUUAAGCAGCUGACUUCGCCCCAAAGAUGAGACUAGGAG
This 1024-nucleotide long non-coding RNA is filed under the name Elaeis guineensis (African oil palm). Its description in RNAcentral is "long non-coding RNA (EGUI_LNC069260)". The record is from RNAcentral. Lineage: Eukaryota; Viridiplantae; Streptophyta; Magnoliopsida; Arecales; Arecaceae.